This 72-nucleotide small nucleolar RNA is filed under the name Manacus vitellinus (golden-collared manakin). RNAcentral's name for it is "Small nucleolar RNA SNORD75". It matches the Rfam family "Small nucleolar RNA SNORD75". From Rfam's summary of the family: U75 (SNORD75) belongs to the C/D class of snoRNAs which contain the C (UGAUGA) and D (CUGA) box motifs. Most of the members of the box C/D family function in directing site-specific 2'-O-methylation of substrate RNAs. The record is from Rfam by way of RNAcentral. Lineage: Eukaryota; Metazoa; Chordata; Aves; Passeriformes; Pipridae.
AGCCUGUGAUGGUUUCAGUAUAAAGAGUAGUGGACAGAAGUGAUUUCUGAAAACUCUGUGUGUGCUGAGGCU